CCUACGGGAGGCAGCAGUGGGGAAUCUUGGACAAUGGGCGCAAGCCUGAUCCAGCCAUGCCGCGUGAGUGAAGAAGGUCUUCGGAUUGUAAAGCUCUUUUACCAGGGACGAUAAUGACGGUACCUGGAGAAUAAGCCCCGGCAAACUUCGUGCCAGCAGCCGCGGUAAUACGAAGGGGGCUAGCGUUGUUCGGAAUUACUGGGCGUAAAGCGCACGUAGGCGGGUCGUUAAGUCAGGGGUGAAAUCCCGGAGCUCAACUCCGGAACUGCCUUUGAUACUGGCGAUCUAGAGAUCGGAAGAGGUUAGUGGAAUUCCCAGUGUAGAGGUGAAAUUCGUAGAUAUUGGGAAGAACACCAGUGGCGAAGGCGGCUAACUGGUCCGAUACUGACGCUGAGGUGCGAAAGCGUGGGGAGCAAACAGGAUUAGAUACCCGUGGUAGUCCACGCCGUAAACUAUGGAAGCUAGCCGUCAGUACAGCUGCUGUAGUGGUGGCGGCGACGCGUACGACAUAAGUACUCCCGUCCGUCGGGUAGGUACGGUCGCGAGAAGUUAAACGUACAAUAGAAGUUAAGUACGGUCGUUGAGACGUUGCCGAACGGACGACGACGAGGGAGGAGG
Molecule: ribosomal RNA, 618 nt
Filed under: uncultured bacterium
Lineage: Bacteria
Description: bacterial SSU rRNA
Rfam family: Bacterial small subunit ribosomal RNA (bases 1-523)
Source: RNAcentral